RNAcentral lists this ribosomal RNA (350 nucleotides) under uncultured Leptolinea sp. Its description in RNAcentral is "bacterial SSU rRNA". It matches the Rfam family "Bacterial small subunit ribosomal RNA", at positions 1023 to 1382 of the family's 1533-position model. Lineage: Bacteria; Bacillati; Chloroflexota; Anaerolineae; Anaerolineales; Anaerolineaceae. The record is from RNAcentral.
CGGGAGCUUGCACAGGUGCUGCAUGGUCUGUCGUCAGCUCGUGUCGUGAGAUGUUCGGUUAAGUCCGCUAACGAGCGCAACCCUCGCUGUGUGUUAUAUGUGUCACACGGGACGUGCCGGUCUUUAAGCCGGAGGAAGGUGGGGAUGAUGUCAAGUCAGCAUGGCCUUUAUAUCCUCGGGCUACACACACGCUACAAUGGCCAACACAAUAGGUUGCUAAGCCGCGAGGUGGCGCCAAUCCAUAAAGUUGGUCUCAGUUCAGAUUGUAGGCUGCAACCCGCCUGCAUGAAGAUGGAGUUGCUAGUAACCGCAGGUCAGCUAUACUGCGGUCGAAUACGUUCCCGGGCCUU